Molecule: ribosomal RNA, 500 nt
Filed under: uncultured bacterium
Lineage: Bacteria
Description: partial 16S ribosomal RNA
Rfam family: Bacterial small subunit ribosomal RNA
Source: RNAcentral
AUUGAACGCUGGCGGCAUGCCUUACACAUGCAAGUCGAACGGUAACGGGUCCUUCGGGAUGCCGACGAGUGGCGAACGGGUGAGUAAUAUAUCGGAACGUGCCCAGUAGUGGGGGAUAACUGCUCGAAAGAGCAGCUAAUACCGCAUACGACCUGAGGGUGAAAGGGGGGGAUCGCAAGACCUCUCGCUAUUGGAGCGGCCGAUAUCAGAUUAGCUAGUUGGUGGGGUAAAGGCCUACCAAGGCAACGAUCUGUAGUUGGUCUGAGAGGACGACCAGCCACACUGGGACUGAGACACGGCCCAGACUCCGACGGGAGGCAGCAGUGGGGAAUGUUGGACAAGGGGCGCAAGCGUGAUCCAGCAAUGCCGCGUGCAGGAAGAAGGCCUUCGGGUUGUAAACUGCUUUUGUCAGGGAAGAAAUCUUCUGGGCUAAUACCCCGGGAGGAUGACGGUACCUGAAGAAUAAGCACCGGCUAACUACGUGCCAGCCGCCGCGGUAA